Molecule: ribosomal RNA, 407 nt
Filed under: uncultured bacterium
Lineage: Bacteria
Description: partial 16S ribosomal RNA
Rfam family: Bacterial small subunit ribosomal RNA
Source: RNAcentral
GACGAACGCUGGCGGCGUGCCUAAUACAUGCAAGUAGGACGCAGUUGCGAACGGGUGAGUAACGCGUAGGUAACUGCCUAUUAGAGGGGGAUAACUAUUGGAAACGAUAGCUAAUACCGCAUACUAGUAGAUGGACCUGCGUUGUAUUAGCUAGUAGGUAGGGUAAUGGCCUACCUAGGCGACGAUACAUAGCCGACCUGAGAGGGUGAUCGGCCCCACUGGGACUGAGGACAGGCUCAGACUCCUACGGGAGGCAGCAGUAGGGAAUCUUCGGCAAUGGGGGGAACCCUGACCGAGACACGCCGUGUGAGUGAAGGAGGUUUUCGGAGCGUAAAGCUCUGUUGUUAAGGAAGCGGUACUUAACCAGAAAGGGACGGCUAACUACGUGCCAGCAGCCGCGGUAAUUC